UACGGAGGGGGCUAGCGUUGUUCGGAAUUACUGGGCGUAAAGCGCACGUAGGCGGCUUUGUAAGUUAGAGGUGAAAGCCCGGGGCUCAACCCCGGAAUUGCCUUUAAGACUGCAUCGCUUGAACGUCGGAGAGGUGAGUGGAAUUCCGAGUGUAGAGGUGAAAUUCGUAGAUAUUCGGAAGAACACCAGUGGCGAAGGCGGCUCACUGGACGACUGUUGACGCUGAGGAGCGAAAGCGUGGGGAGCGAACAGG
RNAcentral lists this ribosomal RNA (253 nucleotides) under uncultured bacterium. RNAcentral describes it as "partial 16S ribosomal RNA". It matches the Rfam family "Bacterial small subunit ribosomal RNA", at positions 524 to 776 of the family's 1533-position model. The record is from RNAcentral.